This 73-nucleotide transfer RNA is filed under the name bacterium. RNAcentral describes it as "tRNA-Arg". It matches the Rfam family "tRNA". From Rfam's summary of the family: Transfer RNA (tRNA) molecules are approximately 80 nucleotides in length. Their secondary structure includes four short double-helical elements and three loops (D, anti-codon, and T loops). RNAcentral also lists the same sequence under 1 other name. The record is from RNAcentral.
GCGCUCGUAGCUCAGCGGAUAGAGCAUCAGCUUGCGGAGCUGGGGGUCGCAGGUUCGAGUCCUGCCGAGCGCA